UUCCAGUAAACCAAACUUGAAUAUUCUAGACCCUGUUUCACUAAAAAAAACAUGUUUACAAUUAUGUUUUUCAACAUGCCUUAUAAAGAUGGUUGUUAGCUCAAAUUAUACUUAUAUUAUUUCGUCAUAUUAAGUUUUGUUUAUGACGAAAUCAGAAUUUAUUCACGACUCACAUGUGAGUCACGGGCCCUGCGCGACUGUUUGAACAUGACCCAUACGCUGAGUCACGGGCCCUGAAUGGGUUAAGAAGAUUGUACAAUGGCCACAUUGGGGAGUAUUUCCUUCUGGGUGACUCGGGGUAUGCUCUUGAGCCAUGGCUCAUGACGCCAGUGCUGAAUCCUGCCCCGGGAAGCCCAGAAGCAAGAAAUGUUCCCGAGGAAAUCGUAGGAGAUAUUGAUGAAGACGCUCCUCAAGAACUUCCUCAUCGUCAUGCGCAAAACGGACUACUAUUAAGAGUGGCGCAGGAAAAGCGUGCGCGUCUAAUAAAUACAUAUUUUGCUUA
Molecule: long non-coding RNA, 502 nt
Organism: Cydia pomonella (codling moth)
Lineage: Eukaryota; Metazoa; Arthropoda; Insecta; Lepidoptera; Tortricidae
Exons: 3
Source: RefSeq, a predicted model, not a curated record